GACGAACGCUGGCGGCGUGCUUAACACAUGCAAGUCGAACGGAAAGGCCCUGCUUUUGUGGGGUGCUCGAGUGGCGAACGGGUGAGUAACACGGGAGUAACCUGCCCUUGACUUUGGGAUAACUUCAGGAAACUGGGGCUAAUACCGGAUAGGAGCUCCUGCUGCAUGGUGGGGGUUGGAAAGUUUCGGCGGUUGGGGAUGGACUCGCGGCUUAUCAGCUUGUUGGUGGGGUAGUGGCUUACCAAGGCUUUGACGGGUAGCCGGCCUGAGAGGGUGACCGGCCACAUUGGGACUGAGAUACGGCCCAGACUCCUACGGGAGGCAGCAGUGGGGAAUAUUGCACAAUGGGCGGAAGCCUGAUGCAGCAACGCCGCGUGCGGGAUGACGGCCUUCGGGUUGUAAACCGCUUUCGCCUGUGACGAAGCGUGAGUGACGGUAAUGGGUAAAGAAGCACCGGCUAACUAUGUG
This 468-nucleotide ribosomal RNA is filed under the name uncultured bacterium. RNAcentral's name for it is "partial 16S ribosomal RNA". It matches the Rfam family "Bacterial small subunit ribosomal RNA", at positions 28 to 507 of the family's 1533-position model. The record is from RNAcentral.